RNAcentral lists this ribosomal RNA (454 nucleotides) under uncultured bacterium. RNAcentral describes it as "partial 16S ribosomal RNA". It matches the Rfam family "Bacterial small subunit ribosomal RNA", at positions 29 to 507 of the family's 1533-position model. The record is from RNAcentral.
UAUGAACGCUGACAGAAUGCUUAACACAUGCAAGUCAACUUGAACUUCGGUUUGGGUGGCGGACGGGUGAGUCACGCGUAAAGAACUUGCCUCACAGUUAGGGACAACAUUUGGAAACGAAUGCUAAUACCUGAUAUUAUGAUUUUAGGGCAUCCUAGAAUUAUGAAAGCUAUAUGCGCUGUGAGAGAGCUUUGCGUCCCAUUAGCUAGUUGGAGAGGUAACGGCUCACCAAGGCGAUGAUGGGUAGCCGGCCUGAGAGGGUGAACGGCCACAAGGGGACUGAGACACGGCCCUUACUCCUACGGGAGGCAGCAGUGGGGAAUAUUGGACAAUGGACCAAGAGUCUGAUCCAGCAAUUCUGUGUGCACGAUGAAGUUUUUCGGAAUGUAAAGUGCUUUCAGUUGGGAAGAAAAAAAUGACGGUACCAACAGAAGAAGUGACGGCUAAAUACGUG